Molecule: ribosomal RNA, 301 nt
Filed under: uncultured bacterium
Lineage: Bacteria
Description: partial 16S ribosomal RNA
Rfam family: Bacterial small subunit ribosomal RNA
Source: RNAcentral
CAGCCGCCGCGGUAAUACGGAGGGUGCAAGCGUUAUCCGGAUUUAUUGGGUUUAAAGGGUCCGUAGGCGGACUUAUAAGUCAGUGGUGAAAGCCUGUCGCUUAACGAUAGAACUGCCAUUGAUACUGUAAGUCUUGAGUAUAUUUGAGGUAGCUGGAAUAAGUAGUGUAGCGGUGAAAUGCAUAGAUAUUACUUAGAACACCAAUUGCGAAGGCAGGUUACCAAGAUAUAACUGACGCUGAGGGACGAAAGCGUGGGUAGCGAACAGGAUUAGAUACCCCCGUAGUCCCUGUCUCUUAUAC